UACGUAGGGGGCUAGCGUUGUCCGGAUUUAUUGGGCGUAAAGAGCGUGUAGGCGGCCAGGUAGGUCUGGUGUGAAAACUCGAGGCUUAACCUCGAGAUGUCAUCGGAAACCAUUUGGCUAGAGUCCGGAAGAGGAAAGUGGAAUUCCUGGUGUAGCGGUGAAAUGCGCAGAUAUCAGGAAGAACACCAAUGGCGAAAGCAGCUUUCUGGGACGGUACUGACGCUGAGACGCGAAAGCGUGGGGAGCGAACAGG
Molecule: ribosomal RNA, 253 nt
Filed under: uncultured bacterium
Lineage: Bacteria
Description: partial 16S ribosomal RNA
Rfam family: Bacterial small subunit ribosomal RNA
Source: RNAcentral